Molecule: microRNA precursor, 81 nt
Filed under: Otolemur garnettii (small-eared galago)
Lineage: Eukaryota; Metazoa; Chordata; Mammalia; Primates; Galagidae
Description: miRNA (ENSOGAG00000017553.1)
Source: RNAcentral
UAUUUGUGUGGGAUAUGUAUGUAUGUGUGUAUGAACAUUUAUGUAUAUAUGCAUGUACAUACCUAUAUACAUAUACAGAGA